RNAcentral lists this unclassified non-coding RNA (217 nucleotides) under plant metagenome. RNAcentral's name for it is "partial contains small subunit ribosomal RNA, internal transcribed spacer 1, and 5.8S ribosomal RNA". The stretch from base 169 to 217 matches the Rfam family "5.8S ribosomal RNA", at positions 1 to 49 of the family's 154-position model. The record is from RNAcentral.
GCUCCGUUGGUGAACCAGCGGAGGGAUCAUUACCGAGUGCAAACUCAUAACCCUUUGUGAACCUAUAUCUGUUGCUUCGGCGGCUCGCUCUCGGGCGAGCCCGCCGGUAAUAUCAGUAUCUCUGUUUGAACCCGACGAUACUUCUGAGUGUUCUUAGCGAACAGUUAAAACUUUUAACAACGGACCUCUUGGCUCUAACAUCGAUGAAGAACGCAGC